GACGAACGCUGGCGGCGUGCUUAACACAUGCAAGUCGAACGGAAAGGCCCUGCUUUUGUGGGGUGCUCGAGUGGCGAACGGGUGAGUAACACGUGAGUAACCUGCCCUUGACUUUGGGAUAACUUCAGGAAACUGGGGCUAAUACCGGAUAGGAGCUCCUGCUGCAUGGUGGGGGUUGGAAAGUUUCGGCGGUUGGGGAUGGACUCGCGGGUUAUCAGCUUGUUGGUGGGGUAGUGGCUUACCAAGGCUUUGACGGGUAGCCGGCCUGAGAGGGUGACCAGCGACAUGGGGACUAAGAUACGGACCAGACUGCAACGGGAGGCAGCAGUGGAGAACAUGGCACAAUGGGCGGAAGCCUGAGACAGCGGCGCCGCGUUCGGGAUGACCGCCUUCGGGGUGUAAACCGCUUUCGCCUGUGACGAAGCGUGAGUGACGGUAAUUGGUAAAGAAGCACCGGCUAACUACGUG
This 468-nucleotide ribosomal RNA is filed under the name uncultured bacterium. RNAcentral describes it as "partial 16S ribosomal RNA". It matches the Rfam family "Bacterial small subunit ribosomal RNA", at positions 28 to 507 of the family's 1533-position model. The record is from RNAcentral.